Long non-coding RNA from Fukomys damarensis (Damara mole-rat), 3939 nucleotides. The record is from Ensembl. Lineage: Eukaryota; Metazoa; Chordata; Mammalia; Rodentia; Bathyergidae.
AUAAAUAUGGCAACCCCUCAAUGUGCCAAGAACACUGGCUGAGGAGCACCCUUUGAGGGCUGAGUCCUGAUCCCUGCCAGCCAGGAGCUUAGGCCUCCAGCUUCUGCCUGAGCUCUGUUGGGUAUCCAGUAAUGGCUCCCAAACUGGCCACUUGCCCUCUGUGCCAUCCACCUGGAAGCCUUUCCCACUCAUGCCCAUUGGUUUGUCCUAUGAGUCCUAGCACACAAAAUCCCUCUCCUGAAAGCCACUCUCAUGGCUCAUCCCCAUUUCCCAGCCCUCAUGUCCCUGGUUCCAAGUAUCUCCCACAGAAGUUGGCAUCUCAUCCAAUUGGACUGGGACCACAAGAAGCAAGGGCUCCAAUGGUGCCCAAGUAUGUCCUCUAGGCAGGAGGGCUCACAACACCACGUCAUGUGUGCUUGGAGGAGGGGCCUCCACACCAGGUAUCUACUCACUUAGACAGCCAUCUGGACCCUCUCCUCUGGCCCCAACAAGGGGUUUAGCUGCCUGUGGGACAGGAGGAGAGUGGAGUCCAUGAUGUUGAGUUCAGGAGCCAUUGUCGGCUCAUCAGUGAAAGCAGUGAAAAGUCCCGCUCCCUCAUAGUACCUCUGUUACCAUGGCAGAGCUACACAUUUACUCCCAGCACCAAUUCUUUGCUCAUCUUCACCCUUGUCCAAUCCCCACUACAGGGUUGAGGGGAGGAGGCAAAAGACCACAGAGCCACAGGUCCACAGAGGAGAAGGAAUAAAGGCACCUGGAGGGACACCCUCACAGGGACCAUGCAGCCACGCUUUCUGGUCUGUCUCCAAGGGGACAAGCCCAUGCUGGUUAUUAAGGAGCAAUGUUCUCAGAAAGGGCCUGAAGCCUUUUCUACCGAGAAGCAGGGUCCACGGCAAUAAUAUAUUGCAACAACGGGUAAUACCCCAAGCAACAGCUCAGCAGAAAUGCACAGAAGGAGCAUGCACUGACCAGGAUCCUGGGAGGAAGAGGAUGCUGGAUGCAACUCACUGCUGCUGCUAUGAGGCCCCAGGACAGUUAUCACCUCUCACUCCCACUGUCCAUUCCCAUCACCUCUCAUCAGCCUCCUGCACCAGCCCUGCUUCCUGCUACUUGUCUUUGCACCUGCUGGGAACAUCUUCUAUGGUAUGCAUGGCAGCUGGGAAGUCCCACUGGAUGUCUUCCCUUUUUAUCCCACUCUGAACACUCGACACAGUACUUGGCCACUACACACAGAGACCCUCUGUCCUUUGGGGACAGCAGGCCCUUAAUCACAGAUAUGUCCUUGGCCCCCAGCAUGGCUGGCUCAAGGAGAAGAGGCCUCAUUUGUGAUGAAGUGUGCAUAAACAUUUGCCAUUCGAUCAGGGAUUAUCUGGGAGACUUCCAGACUCAGCCUCAUUUGCACAUUAUGCUACCUAUAUAUGCCCUAUUCCUUAGUACAUCAGAUAAGAUGACCCCUAAACCUGGCCUUUGUUGGCUGCCCUCUAAUAAGCGAGGAGACACCUGCUGUCACCACAAGACAGUUCUCCCUCUCCUCAGCCACCACACCUGUGAUUCAGUCUCCAAUUCCCACUUUGUCACCCAAGAGCUGCCCUUACCUGCCCCAACCAUCCCCCCAUGUGCUCCCCUCUGGCCAUUUGGCUGUUCUACUAGGAGGGAUCAUGCAAAUUAUCCCCUCUGCCUUCCUGCCUGGACACCAGGGUGAACAUCCAGGGUGGAAUCUGGAGCUACAUCAACCUCAACUAGCUGCAGAGAGUGGUGUCUGCUGGGAGCAAGAAGGAAGACAUGGCUCUUGAGUUCCAAGCAUCAUUUCCUUAAUGGAGAAGAUCUGCCAGGGGCUAAGGGGCUAAAGACAGCACUGAUCACUCAUGACAUCCUAUCUCUCCACAAGUCAGCCCAUGCUCCUGGGUGAGGACUUACACUCUGCUGGGUGCUGUCCAGCUAGAGACAUGUUCAGGCAAGGAACAAAGAGGUUGUGACAUUCAGGGAGAACAAGGGUGGGGACAUCUGCAGGACCAGGCAGGGUGGGGCAUGAGUACUAUCACACCUCUGAGCCAGCGGUCUUCCUACUGAGACCUGAAGGGUGGCAGGAGCCUCUGUGCUAAGGCCCAGGCAGCUGCACCCCACAGGCCCCAACAGGCUGGGGUGCAGUUGGUUAUGGAGUGGAAGUUCUAGGCAAAUGAGGCCCAGAAAGGAAAGUGGAGGCCACCAGCUUGGACUGGGGUCUAAGCAGAGCCAUAGAAAUCAGGGCCCAAUCUUGAGUUGGUAGCACUGAGGCACAAUGGAUACCAUCACAGGUAUGUUGGAAGUCUUUACUCAAGGGAUGAGAAACCUGGCUUAGGGGUCUCCUAGACAGGCUGGCCCCUCAGACAGAGGGGAUGUCCUAGUCAUAGUGUGAUGCAAGAAGGGCACCCACCUUGGUAUUCUACAUCUUCAUGAGACAGCUGCAGGCUGAGGACAGUCAGCGUGGGGAGGGCAGUUGUGGCCUGUCAAAGGCCACAGUGGAGCCAGAGCCACUGGGUGUCUGGCCCCAUGUUCCUGAGAAGGGAAAAGGCAGGGCCAAGACAGGUGAUACACAGGGGAGACCGUGAUAACACUGAAGUCUGAAGGGCAGGAACAAGGGCAGAGCCAAGGGAUCCAGGUUGCAGGUAGGUAUUUGCGGCCAAGCAGCAAAGGCAGCAUUUGUUUUUCAUGUGUCAUUGCAGUUCCUUGUCAUUUCAGGGCCUUGUUCAGGAUAGGCAAGCACUAUGCCCAACCUACAUCUGCAAAGACAAUACUGGAAGCCACAGGAAGAGUGUGUGAGAAUAGAGAUUCUCUCAGAACAAGGAUAAGCCCCACUGUGGGGUCUGCAGGGACCUGAACACCCCUCCUGGAAGGAGCCACCUCUGUCUGGGCUUUGGACAGCCUUGCUUGCCCUCCUGAACUGUAAACACCUCCUCUGGGUAUGAUAGAACCAGUCACCACCCCAGAGGCCCCUACAGCAAUUGAGCUGUGCAAUUGCCAGCCCUUGCAAGCUCUUUAGCGACUGCAAUUGAUUCCCAGGCUGGGGUCUAAUUGCUGGCCUGUUGCUGUGAUCUCAGUAAAGGCUGCCACCAUAGGGGAGCCAGAGUGCACACUUGCCGCCUUCCCAGAUAAAAUGAAGGAGGUUUUCUCUUUCCUCCUUUGAAUGGUCGACUUGCAGGAAACCAGCAAUUAUGCAUCAAAGCACGGCGUUUAUGCCACAGGGACUGGUGGUAGAGGACUUACUCAUGAGCCCAGUCUCUAAGAAUUUUGUUGCAAGAGCCUGGGGUCGUUUGCCCACCCCUUUCCAGUGCUGGAGAACAAGAGCACUUGCUUGGAAGCAAAGCACCUGAGGAGCUGGCCCUGGCCAACAGCCUAGGAAUCUGAUGAAAAGACCUGCAGGUAUUUCCCACCAGCCUCCCAUGCCACUCUCCCAGAUAAGGCUUUGCCUUGGAACUCUCAAGGGACAGCCCAACCCCAGGGAGAUGAGGAGCCCUGAGAGAGGCUCACUAGCUGGGAACCAUGGCAGACAACAAGAGGAUAAAGAGGACAAGAUUCAGACCUGUGGGCAUUGUGCAGCCCCUUCCCCUGGCCAUAGUGGACUAGGUCAUAAACCAACCUCUCCUUCUGGCACAAAUGUCACCUCUUAGUACCAUCAGAGAAAGCAGCACCUUGCCAGAAUCUCCCCAAUUAAUGACUAUUUAAGUUUGGAUUUAAAAAUCUCCCAAAGUCUCACAUUUGGAGGUAGGGCAUGGUUGGAGAGGAUGGGUCCUCAGGGACUCUGGAAGGGUUUAUUCCUCUCCCUGACCCCUCCCUUCCUUCCCUCUCUGCUUCUUGGCUGCAGUGAUUUGAGUAGCUUCUCUCUGCCACACCCCUCUGCCAUGCUGUUUCUCCCUUGGAGUGGGCUGACCACGGACUGAAUCCUCUGAAAACCAUGAUCCAAAU